RNAcentral lists this small RNA (29 nucleotides) under Bombyx mori (domestic silkworm). RNAcentral describes it as "ovarian small RNA-27880". The record is from RNAcentral. Lineage: Eukaryota; Metazoa; Arthropoda; Insecta; Lepidoptera; Bombycidae.
UCCUCUGGGUAGAAGGGAUACCCGGCCUA